AUUGAACGCUGGCGGCAUGCCUUACCCAUGCAAGUCGAACGGCAGCACGGGAGCAAUCCUGGUGGCGAGUGGCGAACGGGUGAGUAAUAUAUCGGAACGUGCCCAGUCGUGGGGGAUAACGUAGCGAAAGCUACGCUAAUACCGCAUACGAUCUACGGAUGAAAGCGGGGGAUCGCAAGACCUCGCGCGAUUGGAGCGGCCGAUAUCAGAUUAGGUAGUUGGUGAGGUAAAGGCUAACCAAGCCGACGAUCUGUAGCUGGUCUGAGAGGACGACCAGCCACACUGGGACUGAGACACGGCCCAGACUCCUACGGGAGGCAGCAGUGGGGAAUUUUGGACAAUGGGCGCAAGCCUGAUCCAGCAAUGCCGCGUGCAGGAUGAAGGCCUUCGGGUUGUAAACUGCUUUUGUACGGAACGAAACGGUGAGCUCUAAUACAGUUUGCUAAUGACGGUACCGUAAGAAUAAGCACCGGCUAACUACGUGCCAGCCGCCGCCGUAA
Molecule: ribosomal RNA, 500 nt
Filed under: uncultured bacterium
Lineage: Bacteria
Description: partial 16S ribosomal RNA
Rfam family: Bacterial small subunit ribosomal RNA
Source: RNAcentral